RNAcentral lists this ribosomal RNA (497 nucleotides) under uncultured bacterium. RNAcentral describes it as "partial 16S ribosomal RNA". It matches the Rfam family "Bacterial small subunit ribosomal RNA", at positions 28 to 507 of the family's 1533-position model. The record is from RNAcentral.
GAUGAACGCUGGCGGCGUGCCUAAUACAUGCAAGUCGAGCGAACGGACGAGAAGCUUGCUUCUCUGAUUUUAGCGGCGGACGGGUGAGUAACACGUGGAUAACCUACCUAUAAGACUGGGAUAACUUCGGGAAACCGGAUCUAAUACCGGAUAAUAUUUUGAACUUCAUGGUUCAAAAGUUAAAUACGCUCGUGCUGUCACUUAUAGAUGGAUCCGCGCUGCAUUAGCUAGUUGGUAAGGUAACGGCUUACCAAGGCAACGAUGCAUAGCCGACCUGAGAGGGUGAUCGGCCACACUGGAACUGAGACACGGUCCAGACUCCUACGGGAGGCCGCAGUAGGGAAUCUUCCGCAAUGGGCGAAAGCCUGACGGAGCAACGCCGGGUGAGUGAUGAAGGUAUUCGGAUCGUAAAACUAUGUUAUUAGGGAAGAACAUAUGUGUAAGUAACUGUGAACAUCAUGACGGUACCUAAUCAGAAAGCCACGGCUAACUACGUG